UUGAUAUAGGGCUAUCAAUUGAGUUCUAUUAGACUCAAUGGGGCUAUCCCAUAUUUUACAUUUACAACGCGUUCUGCGCAUGUCGUGUUUGAUGACGUUACAGUAGUAAAAAAACAAAAGUUCUGAGUCAUCGCAAUUUCUCCGUAUAUUCUUAUAUAACAGCUAAAGACGAUAGAAAAAUUAUAUUACAACUUUUGCUUUUGAGGAAAACAUUCUGAAAUAUUCUACAUUAAAGGACACAUGCAAGAUAGAAGACAACUUUAUUUUAUUGUAAUGCCUACGGCGUGAAAAUAAAACGUACCAAGUUUCAAAGUCGUCCGCAAAAUAUUUCAAAAGAUAUUUAGGGUUAUAAUCGAUAAAAACACGAUGUUCGAUGACCAUUGCUAAAACGCCGUGAGAUUGUUGAAGUCUGGGAACUGGGAAUGAGUGACGUAAUAGUUGACAUAAACAAGCAUUUUUCUUAUAUCGUUCUACGACUAGCACAACUUUCGGUAGUUUGCUAUUAAGGUAGUUUGCUAGUUAUUUGUUUUUUAUUUAACAAAAAUUAAUGGAUUCUUCUUUUGAAUAAGCCGAUUAUGAUAUUUUCAUCAAUAACAAUGAGGUACAACCUUGCAUGUUUGAGCCUUUGGCCAACGCGCAAGGUGGUCAUAGUAAUGACAAUUCUCCGUCAUCGGAAGAUGAAUACAUUCACAGAUUUGGAAAUGUUGAAUGGUGCGAGUGUGGCUUUUGUGUGGUCAUGAGUACAGGACGGGAAAGUAUAUGUUGCCAAGAGGUAAGCAACACUGAUCCUCUGAUACAUGGCGAUCAUAUUUGCAUCACACAAGAGGAAGAGUUUGCCACAGUGUGUACAAACGAAGCCGUCAUAAAAACAUCUAUGGUCGUGUACACACAUGACAUUGGACCUAUACCUGAGAGUGAAGAAAACGAAAACAUUACGCUACACGUUGUACCGACAGUGGACGGCUUGGGUGCAUGGCAGGUUGGGAAAAAAGUACAGACUACCCAUACCUUCUUGUGCUGGAGACAAAAUCCGGAAAGCAUUUCCUUCGCCUUCUGGAGAAUACAAAGGAUUUGAAUAUGCUCAACACUACUGAAUGCGACAUUUAUGUUGCUUAAUGGCUUCAGCUUUGCUGAUUUUUGAUUUGUGGCAAGUCAAUGGGACAGGUAUUUCUUUCACUCCAGACAUGAAGAGCUUCGGACAGUGUUGGAUUAAUGCGUCUGCAGUACAAAACUUCUUUCAUCAAGUCCUUAACAUAUCCUGAAAAGCAAAUCAUUAUUUAUGUUGGCUUUGCAUUGCACUUUGAGAAAAAGCUCUAACAUAUCAUAUUCACAUUUUGGGAAUACAUCACUAUGUCCCUCAUGGAUGUCACAUAUAUGGUUGAGAACUGACAACCACUUUGCCUUGACAAGUUCUUCAUCACCAUUGCUGGAAGCAGCACACCAGUAUACAUGGUUGGAAAUUGAUUGGGCCCAAUCUGACAAUAAUUUGCAACCACUUUUUUUUGAUGCUGCCCAAAUGUUCUUUUUAAUUCCUGUUGGAUUUUGAUUAUUGAUGAAAUGUGUAAAAGGAUUUGAUUUGAGCAUGUCUGUCUGUGGUCAUUGACUUCACCUUCAUCCCACUUUCAUCAAACUUUGCCAGACAUCUUUUUAAUCCCUCAAGUUCCAUUGCUCCAGAGUUGGUCACUUCAUUGGACUGUUUAACAUAAUUAUAAGAUGCUUUUGGUUCAUAUGCCAAACAUUUGAAACACUGGGUAUCAAAUACGCUGUUUGAAUAUAGCUAUAUGUACACUCUGACAGAAAUUGUAUGCCUGAGUGACGAAGGAAUUGAAGAACUUUGCUGGGGCUACUACCACUAAACAAGAUGCUGGCAGCAAAGACCAAGUUACCCAAAGGCAUUCGCCCAUGCAGAGGUUGGCUAUUCCAGUCUCGAACAUAACCACAAUGACAUUUUGCUAGUACGUUAACCAUACUACCAGUCGUUUUGGUCACAAUGGAACAGCUUUCACCACAACAUGGGCAUUGACUCACUAACUGUCUCAGGCAACUAUCAAACACUAUGUAUUUUCUCUCAUUUUGAACAUCUUCCCUAUAACAUAAAAAUUACCAUCAGAAUCAGAGAGAGAUAAACGUAACGUUCUGAGAAACAUAGAACAGAGAAAAGCAAUGUAAAGAAUAGUCAGGUGACUGGAUAGUUGGUACUAACGUUGCAUUGUCAUUGUUGGAUUCUUCAUUUUCGCUUAACUCAUUUGAACAUUGAGAGUCAGAUCCAUUGUUGCUAUUGCUCAUCGUCGACGUGCUUUCUGUAUAAGACCAUACAGCGCUAUCCUCAAAAUGUUCAAUUUCACAUGACGUCGUCUGUGUGCUGUGAUUUUUUGUUGAAAUGAACUCAACCUCCGUACCUUAGCAUAAAAUUAUCGUAUUGCUGGAUUUUUCACAAAAAUCAAAACGGCCGGAAUGGAAAGUCUAUACCUCUACUUAUCAUAUUUGGCACUUUUGUUUGAGUGGUUCUUGACCUUACGUGUUUUUGCGGACGGAUUGUUAUGGCUGCUUGGCAUUUCACAUUGCGCUUCUAAGACAAACUUCCUUUGAGGUAAAACGCACAAACAUUUCGAGCCGAUGUCGACACAUCGUGGUCGUCGUCUACAAGAAAGUCGUCAUGUUCUGCAAGAACGUCGUCAAUAAUCU
This is an RNA transcript of Xenia sp. Carnegie-2017, 2685 nucleotides long. RefSeq lists it as uncharacterized. The transcript is spliced from 8 exons. The record is from RefSeq and is a predicted model, not a curated record. NCBI's taxonomy places the organism in Eukaryota, Metazoa, Cnidaria, Anthozoa, Malacalcyonacea, Xeniidae.